Dipodomys ordii (Ord's kangaroo rat) is the source of this 72-nucleotide non-coding RNA. The record is from Rfam. Lineage: Eukaryota; Metazoa; Chordata; Mammalia; Rodentia; Heteromyidae.
GGGAAGGUGGCUUAGUUGUAGAGUGCUUGCCUUGCACCCAAGAGGACUUGGGUUCGAUUCCUCACCACCACA